RNAcentral lists this ribosomal RNA (396 nucleotides) under uncultured bacterium. RNAcentral's name for it is "partial 16S ribosomal RNA". It matches the Rfam family "Bacterial small subunit ribosomal RNA", at positions 360 to 773 of the family's 1533-position model. The record is from RNAcentral.
AAUAUUUCACAAUGGGCGCAAGCCUGAUGCAGCGACGCCGCGUGGAGGAUGAAGGNUUNNGGGUCNUNAACUACUGUCUGGGGNNNNNAAUACUGACAGUACCCCCGGAGGAAACCCCGGCUAACUACGUUCCAGCAGCCGCGGUACUACGUAGGGGGCGGGCGUUGUCCGGAAUUACUGGGCGUAAAGCGCGCGCAGGUGGCUUGUUAAGUCAGGUGUCAAAAUGCGGGGCUCAACCCCGUACCGCACUUGAAACUGGCAGGCUUGAGUGCAGGAGAGGGAAGUGGAAUUCCUAGUGUAGCGGUGAAAUGCGUAGAUAUUAGGAGGAACACCAGUGGCGAAGGCGACUUCCUGGACUGUAACUGACACUGAGGCGCGAAAGCUAGGGGAGCAAAC